This 905-nucleotide ribosomal RNA is filed under the name uncultured Bacillus sp. RNAcentral describes it as "bacterial SSU rRNA". It matches the Rfam family "Bacterial small subunit ribosomal RNA", at positions 58 to 944 of the family's 1533-position model. Lineage: Bacteria; Bacillati; Bacillota; Bacilli; Caryophanales; Bacillaceae. The record is from RNAcentral.
CAAGUCGAGCGAAUCAAUGGGAGCUUGCUCCCUGAGAUUAGCGGCGGACGGGUGAGUAACACGUGGGUAACCUGCCUGUAAGAUUGGGAUAACUCCGGGAAACCGGGGCUAAUACCGGAUAAUACUUCGAACCGCAUGGUUUGAAGUUGAAAGAUGGCUUCGGCUAUCACUUACAGAUGGACCCGCGGCGCAUUAGCUAGUUGGUGAGGUAACGGCUCACCAAGGCAACGAUGCGUAGCCGACCUGAGAGGGUGAUCGGCCACACUGGGACUGAGACACGGCCCAGACUCCUACGGGAGGCAGCAGUAGGGAAUCUUCCGCAAUGGACGAAAGUCUGACGGAGCAACGCCGCGUGAACGAUGAAGGCCUUCGGGUCGUAAAGUUCUGUUGUUAGGGAAGAACAAGUACCAGAGUAACUGCUGGUACCUUGACGGUACCUAACCAGAAAGCCACGGCUAACUACGUGCCAGCAGCCGCGGUAAUACGUAGGUGGCAAGCGUUGUCCGGAAUUAUUGGGCGUAAAGCGCGCGCAGGUGGUUUCUUAAGUCUGAUGUGAAAGCCCACGGCUCAACCGUGGAGGGUCAUUGGAAACUGGGGAACUUGAGUGCAGAAGAGGAAAGUGGAAUUCCAAGUGUAGCGGUGAAAUGCGUAGAGAUUUGGAGGAACACCAGUGGCGAAGGCGACUUUCUGGUCUGUAACUGACACUGAGGCGCGAAAGCGUGGGGAGCGAACAGGAUUAGAUACCCUGGUAGUCCACGCCGUAAACGAUGAGUGCUAAGUGCUAGAGGGUUUCCGCCCUUUAGUGCUGCAGCUAACGCAUUAAGCACUCCGCCUGGGGAGUACGGUCGCAAGACUGAAACUCAAAGGAAUUGACGGGGGGCCCGCACAAGCGGUGGAGCAUGUGG